RNAcentral lists this ribosomal RNA (727 nucleotides) under Pediococcus pentosaceus. Its description in RNAcentral is "bacterial SSU rRNA". It matches the Rfam family "Bacterial small subunit ribosomal RNA", at positions 64 to 764 of the family's 1533-position model. Lineage: Bacteria; Bacillati; Bacillota; Bacilli; Lactobacillales; Lactobacillaceae. The record is from RNAcentral.
GAUUAUGACGUACUUGUACUGAUUGAGAUUUUAACACGAAGUGAGUGGCGAACGGGUGAGUAACACGUGGGUAACCUGCCCAGAAGUAGGGGAUAACACCUGGAAACAGAUGCUAAUACCGUAUAACAGAGAAAACCGCAUGGUUUUCUUUUAAAAGAUGGCUCUGCUAUCACUUCUGGAUGGACCCGCGGCGUAUUAGCUAGUUGGUGAGGUAAAGGCUCACCAAGGCAGUGAUACGUAGCCGACCUGAGAGGGUAAUCGGCCACAUUGGGACUGAGACACGGCCCAGACUCCUACGGGAGGCAGCAGUAGGGAAUCUUCCACAAUGGACGCAAGUCUGAUGGAGCAACGCCGCGUGAGUGAAGAAGGGUUUCGGCUCGUAAAGCUCUGUUGUUAAAGAAGAACGUGGGUAAGAGUAACUGUUUACCCAGUGACGGUAUUUAACCAGAAAGCCACGGCUAACUACGUGCCAGCAGCCGCGGUAAUACGUAGGUGGCAAGCGUUAUCCGGAUUUAUUGGGCGUAAAGCGAGCGCAGGCGGUCUUUUAAGUCUAAUGUGAAAGCCUUCGGCUCAACCGAAGAAGUGCAUUGGAAACUGGGAGACUUGAGUGCAGAAGAGGACAGUGGAACUCCAUGUGUAGCGGUGAAAUGCGUAGAUAUAUGGAAAGAACACCAGUGGCGAAGGCGGCUGUCUGGUCUGCAACUGACGCUGAGGCUCGAAAGCAUGG